GACGAACGCUGGCGGCGUGCCUAAUACAUGCAAGUCGAGCGAUGAAGCUUGGUGCUUGCACCAAUUUGAAGAGCAGCGAACGGGUGAGUAACGCGUGGGGCAUCUGCCUUUGUGCGGGGGACAACAUCUGGAAACGAAUGCUAAUACCGCAUAACACCUUUAAACAUAAGUUUUAAGUGUGAAUGAUGCAUUUGCCUCACUCAAAGAUGAACCCGCGUUGUAUUAGGUAGUUGGUGAGGUAAAGGCUCACCAAGGCGAUGGUACAUAGCCGAGCUGAGAGGGUGAACGGCCACAAUGGGACUGGGACACGGCCCAAGCCCCUACGGGAGGGAGCAGGAGGGGAUCUUCGGAAAAGGGCGGAAGGCUGAACGAGGAACGCCGCGGGAGUGGAGGAGGGUCUCGGAUCGGAAAACUCUGUUGGUAGAGAAGAACGUGGAGGAGAGUGGAAAGCUCAUCAAGUGACGGUAACUACACAGAAAGGGACGGCUAACUACGUG
RNAcentral lists this ribosomal RNA (497 nucleotides) under uncultured bacterium. RNAcentral's name for it is "partial 16S ribosomal RNA". It matches the Rfam family "Bacterial small subunit ribosomal RNA", at positions 28 to 507 of the family's 1533-position model. The record is from RNAcentral.